GAUUUAAGACUAAAAACAGAUGUGUGUGAAUCGUCAAAUGUACUUAGGGUCACAAGUGCAAAUAAAAAAAUCAACAAAUGUUUUUUUUUUCCUGUAAAUACGGCGGUGAAGUUAGUUUCAGGUUGGAUAUAUUUUCCUGUAAAUACGGCGGUGAAGUUAGUUUCAGGUUGGAUAUAUCUUCCUGUAAAUACGGCGGUGAAGUUAGUUUUAGGUUGGAUAUAUUUUCCUGUAAAUACGGCGGUGAAGUUAGUUUCAGGUUGGAUAUAUUUCCCUGUAAAUACGGCGGUGAAGUUAGUUUCAGGUUGGAUAUAUUUUCCUGUAAAUACGGCGGUGAAGUUAGUUUUAGGUUGGAUAUAUUUUCACGUCUGAGUGAGCAGCACACGCCCUCACAGCAGACCUAUCGUUGAUCAAUAACAGGACCACACCUCCACAGUGACCUGUUCAUGAAUCUGCUGACUCGUCAAUAGAGGGUUCAUGGUGUCUGCUGAUCAGUCCAUUUACCGGCUGGUUCUCCUAACUCUCUCUCGAUGAGUGGACCCGCCAUCAGCUGAUAUCUCUCCAUGUCUUUGGUUUCUAUCACAUGAUCUUCCUCGUCAGCGUGGUCAUCAACGUUUAUUCAGCUGC
Xyrichtys novacula (pearly razorfish) is the source of this 624-nucleotide non-coding RNA. NCBI's taxonomy places the organism in Eukaryota, Metazoa, Chordata, Actinopteri, Labriformes, Labridae. The record is from the annotation of a GenBank genome assembly.